This 468-nucleotide ribosomal RNA is filed under the name uncultured bacterium. Its description in RNAcentral is "partial 16S ribosomal RNA". It matches the Rfam family "Bacterial small subunit ribosomal RNA", at positions 28 to 507 of the family's 1533-position model. The record is from RNAcentral.
GACGAACGCUGGCGGCGUGCUUAACACAUGCAAGUCGAACGGACAGGCCCUGCUUUUGUGGGGUGCUCGAGUGGCGAACGGGUGAGUAACACGUGAGUAACCUGCCCUUGACUUUGGGAUAACUUCAGGAAACUGGGGCUAAUACCGGAUAGGAGCUCCUGCUGCAUGGUGGGGGUUGGAAAGUUUCGGCGGUUGUGGAUGGACUCGCGGCUUAUCAGCUUGUUGGUGGGGUAGUGGCUUACCAAGGCUUUGACGGGUAGCCGGCCUGAGAGGGGGACCGGCCACAUUGGGACUGAGGGAGGGCGCAGACGCGUACGGGAGGCAGCAGGGGGGAAUAUUGCACAAUGGGCGGAAGCCUGAGGCAGCAACGUCGGGUGCGGGAUGACGGGCUUCGGGUUGUAAACCGAUGUCGCCUGUGACGAAGCGUGAGUGACGGUAAUGGGUAAAGAAGCACCGGCUAACUACGUG